Molecule: long non-coding RNA, 1114 nt
Organism: Glycine soja
Lineage: Eukaryota; Viridiplantae; Streptophyta; Magnoliopsida; Fabales; Fabaceae
Exons: 4
Source: RefSeq, a predicted model, not a curated record
UCUUCUCCAGAAGAAAGUUGAUACGACACCUUGGUAGAGAGAGAGUGAAUUAGGAAUUAGGAAACGUUCGAAAUUGGGUCGUAAAUUAAUGGGUUGAGCCGAGUUGGUUGGUGGAAGGAAGAAAUAAAGAAAUCAACAAAGGCAGACAAAGAGCUUAGGAAAAGAAGAAUAAGAAUGGUGUGGUGAGAAAGAUGAAGGUCCGUUCGGAAAGGGAAAAGACGAAAGUUGUGAUUAGGCAUUUGUCCCCUUCUCUCACUCUAUCCGAUUUCUUCCCAACACAUCGAUUCUCACUUCGCUUCUCGCUACAAUUGGUUCUCCUUCCGUCCCGGCAACAACAGUCACAAGCGUCAGAUGCAUUCCCGAGCCUAUAUAGACUUCAAGUGUCCCGAUGACGUUUUCGAGUUCACCGAGUUCUUUGAUGGGCACGUUUUUGUUAACGAGCGGGGUGCCCAGUAUAAAGUGAUAGUUGAGUAUGCACCUUCUCAGCGUGUUCCAAAGCCAAGUGCCAAAAAGAUGGACGUGAAGGGACUAUAUUCAAAGAUCCAGAUUAUCUUGAGUUCCUCAAACUAAUUGCAAAACCUCAAGAGCAUCUUCCUAGUGCAGAGAUACAAUUGGAAAGAAAAGAAGCUGAGCAAGCUGGUUAGUUAUUUGUUCACCAACUGUAUUUGAUUUACACUUAUUUCAAAGUGAAUUGAUAAAUAAGCAUUAGAAACAACACCAUGAUCACUUUUCUGUCUCUGACAUUAUGUGCUCAUCUGCCAUUGCCUAAUGUUAUGGUGGUGUAUGUUGUUUCUACAUUAGUUCUAUUGUUAAAUGUGUUUUAGAGGAUCUUAGUACUGGCUUCUAGGCUAAAUGUGGUCAUGAGGAUUUAUCUGAAGACAAAUUUCAGUAUCAUUGGUCUCAUUCUUAUAUUGUAUCUUUUCCCGGGGCCAGCAAGGAAACACCUAUUGUCACACCCCUGAUGGAAUAUAUUCGUCAGAAACCUGCUGCUGACAGUGGUAUGCAUGUAAUGUUUCUGGGUCUGCAUAGUCUUUUGUGUCAUGUUUAGGUUCUCCUCCAGGGUGCAUUUACUUUGGAGCUUAACUUUAUUGAUUGAAGAUUUUUUGCCGCUUUC